This 837-nucleotide ribosomal RNA is filed under the name uncultured bacterium. RNAcentral's name for it is "bacterial SSU rRNA". It matches the Rfam family "Bacterial small subunit ribosomal RNA", at positions 55 to 905 of the family's 1533-position model. The record is from RNAcentral.
AUGCAAGUCGAACGAGCAAGAGAGAGCUUGCUUUCUCGAGCGAGUGGCGAACGGGUGAGUAACGCGUGAGGAACCUGCCUCAAAGAGGGGGACAACAGUUGGAAACGACUGCUAAUACCGCAUAAGCCCACGGUGCCGCAUGGCACAGAGGGAAAAGGAGCAAUCCGCUUUGAGAUGGCCUCGCGUCCGAUUAGCUAGUUGGUGAGGUAACGGCCCACCAAGGCAACGAUCGGUAGCCGGACUGAGAGGUUGAACGGCCACAUUGGGACUGAGACACGGCCCAGACUCCUACGGGAGGCAGCAGUGGGGAAUAUUGCACAAUGGGGGAAACCCUGAUGCAGCGACGCCGCGUGGAGGAAGAAGGUCUUCGGAUUGUAAACUCCUGUUGUUGGGGAAGAUAAUGACGGUACCCAACAAGGAAGUGACGGCUAACUACGUGCCAGCAGCCGCGGUAAAACGUAGGUCACAAGCGUUGUCCGGAAUUACUGGGUGUAAAGGGAGCGCAGGCGGGAAGACAAGUUGGAAGUGAAAUCUAUGGGCUCAACCCAUAAACUGCUUUCAAAACUGUUUUUCUUGAGUAGUGCAGAGGUAGGCGGAAUUCCCGGUGUAGCGGUGGAAUGCGUAGAUAUCGGGAGGAACACCAGUGGCGAAGGCGGCCUACUGGGCACCAACUGACGCUGAGGCUCGAAAGUGUGGGUAGCAAACAGGAUUAGAUACCCUGGUAGUCCACACCAUAAACGAUGAUUACUAGGUGUUGGAGGAUUGACCCCUUCAGUGCCGCAGUUAACACAAUAAGUAAUCCACCUGGGGAGUACGACCGCAAGGUUGAAACUCAAA